GCCCGAAGUCAUUACCUCAACCGCAAGGAGGGGGAUGCCUAAGGCAGGGCUAGUGACUGGGGUGAAGUCGUAACAAGGUAGCCGUACCGGAAGGUGUGGCUGGAUCACCUCCUUAAAGGGAGACCUAAUUCCAGUAGGAGACGAAAAAAAAGUAGUCCCUACCAAGAAUCAAUCCCAAAAGGUCGGAGCGAGGCAAAAUUGGCUUUCAAACUAGGUUCUGGGUUCACACAAGACCUGAAUCAGGAACAAGGGCUAUUAGCUCAGGUGGUUAGAGCGCACCCCUGAUAAGGGUGAGGUCCCUGGUUCGAGUCCAGGAUGGCCCACCUGCACAGGUGGAAGAAAGAAAAGAAGCUCCGAAUCAGCACCUUAUCUUACUUAUAUAGUAAGAGAGAAUGCUGGCUCUGAGUACAGAGUCCAGAGGAACCUUGAAAACUGCAUAGAGCUAGGUGAAAAAGCCAAAAAAGAAGACCGCAA
This 474-nucleotide unclassified non-coding RNA is filed under the name Microcystis aeruginosa LMECYA 171. RNAcentral's name for it is "partial contains 16S ribosomal RNA, 16S-23S ribosomal RNA intergenic spacer, and 23S ribosomal RNA". The stretch from base 1 to 115 matches the Rfam family "Bacterial small subunit ribosomal RNA", at positions 1419 to 1533 of the family's 1533-position model. Lineage: Bacteria; Bacillati; Cyanobacteriota; Cyanophyceae; Chroococcales; Microcystaceae. The record is from RNAcentral.